AUCCAACUGAGGAGUCUGAAAUGGGACGAAAUGCACAUCUUAGAU
RNAcentral lists this non-coding RNA (45 nucleotides) under Trichobilharzia regenti. Lineage: Eukaryota; Metazoa; Platyhelminthes; Trematoda; Strigeidida; Schistosomatidae. The record is from RNAcentral.